AAAAACCUAUUGGCCCUCUUACUUUAGGUCAAAAGUAGCAGAAAUCAGAGAUGAUGACAAGGCUCUGUGAAUUCUGGGUGGAAGAAAGAUCUUCAUUCACGUGGUGUGCCCCAUGGGAUGUUCUGCCUUCCAGCUGACAGCAUCAUCUGUUUCAAAAACCCCCACAACAAACCAAAAAAGCCUUUGUGUUUUCAAUCAAGACUGAAGCUGAGAAAUUUUCCUGACGGGGUGAAAGUUGUAACAUGCAUGGCCUGUCAGAUUUGCAUUCUUUGACAUGAUGUCCGUGUCCAGACCAUGGAUUUUGAAGUGGCCUUCGAACUUUACCUCAGGACGGUGGAGAAAAAAAAAUCAGGUGGCCUGAAUGGAAUAUAUGCAAAAACCAGGUCAAGGGCUGAUGGUCAGAGAUGGGAAUUCUGCUACUGAGACAAGGUGGAAGCCAGGAGGCAGAAACCGGGAAGGAACCAGAGCCAAAAAUCACAGCUAGCAAAGCUCAGGGCCAAUGCCCAAGACAGGAACCAGAGGAGCAAUUAACCCGGGAGCAAGAAUGUCCUGAGUCAGCAUUCAGAAACUGCCCUCAGGACAGUUCUUCCUCACCCUGGAUGGGGCAGCUCCUUUGGAAAGCACUCACCACCUCUGGGCUUUGGAAGUGCAAUUAAUCUUGGAGUCAUUAGUCUUAUGCUAUGAGGAGACAGAAGAGAGACAAACUCUUCGCACCCUAGAUGACUGGAGCCAUAAAGCUCACUGAGUUAGUAUCACUGAGGCAGGGCCUUGACUGGGGUGGGCGAGUGGGGUGCCUGGGGUGCCCACAUAGGGAGGCAUUCACUCAGGGUCAGACAGAGGCAGGUCGCUGAGGCUCUGGGAUGGGAAGGCUGAGCCCCACUGGAACCGACUGAUAUCUGAUGGGCUCUGUUUCCCUUUGACAAGAGGCCACAAGUCCACUCUGAAUCAGUCUGUGGAGUUCAUGGUGUUUCUUGAAUUAAAAUACAUGAUUAACAUUUGCUGUUCCCUGGCAUUUAAUGAUGAAUAAAAAUAAACUCUUAAACUAAUGCAACAGAAAUUUUUUAUUUGCACCAUGGUAAUGGCAUUUUCCCCCCUUAUUCUUUUGCUGAC
Long non-coding RNA from Myotis daubentonii (Daubenton's bat), 1110 nucleotides. RefSeq lists it as uncharacterized. The transcript has 3 exons. Lineage: Eukaryota; Metazoa; Chordata; Mammalia; Chiroptera; Vespertilionidae. The record is from RefSeq and is a predicted model, not a curated record.